GACGAACGCUGGCGGCGUGCUUAACACAUGCAAGUCGAACGGACAGGUCCUGCUUUUGUGGGGUGCUCGAGUGGCGAACGGGUGAGUAACACGCGAGUAACAUGCCCUUGAAUUUGGGAUAACUUCAGGAAAAUGGGGCUCAUAUCGCAUAGGAGAUCCUGCUGCAUGGUGGGGGUUGGAAAGUUUCGGCGGUUGGGGAUGGACUAGCGGCUUCUCAGCUUGUUGGUGGGGUAGUGGAUUACCAGGGGUUCGACGGGUAGCCGGCCUGAGAGGGUAACCGGCCACAUGAGUACUGAGAUACGGCGCAGUCUCGUACGGGAGGCAGCAGUGGAGAAUAUUGCACAAUGGGCGGAAGCCUGAUGCAGCGGCGCCGCGUGCGGGAUGACGUCCUACGGGUUGAAAACCGCUGUCUCCUGAGACGAGGCGGGAGUGACGGUAAUGGGUAAAGAAGCACCGGCUAACUACGUG
Molecule: ribosomal RNA, 468 nt
Filed under: uncultured bacterium
Lineage: Bacteria
Description: partial 16S ribosomal RNA
Rfam family: Bacterial small subunit ribosomal RNA
Source: RNAcentral